ACAUAGUACAGGGGGCCUGAAAAAUGGCUCCUCUGUUUUUAAGCCACCCCACAGGAGUCUGGUGUUAUUAUAACAAGGCGCACAAAAUUUGCAGCUUCCCUAUGAACAAAUUCCCUACAUGU
Small nucleolar RNA from Otolemur garnettii (small-eared galago), 122 nucleotides. The record is from Ensembl. NCBI's taxonomy places the organism in Eukaryota, Metazoa, Chordata, Mammalia, Primates, Galagidae.